GACGAACGCUGGCGGCGUGCUUAACACAUGCAAGUCGAACGGAAAGACCCUGCUUUUGUGGGGUGCUCGUGUGGCGAACGGGUGAGUAGCACGUGAGUAACCUGCCCUUGACUUUGGGAUAACUUCAGGAAACUGGGGCUAAUACCGGAUAGGAGCUCCUGCUGCAUGGUGGGGGUUGGAAAGUUUCGGCGGUUGGGGAUGGACUCGCGGCUUAUCAGCUUGUUGGUGGGGUAGUGGCUUACCAAGGCUUUGACGGGUAGCCGGCCUGAGAGGGUGACCGGCCACAUUGGGACUGAGAUACGGCCCAGACUCCUACGGGAGGCAGCAGUGGGGAAUAUUGCACUAUGGGCGGAAGCCUGAUGCAGCAACGCCGCGUGCGGGAUGACGGCCUUCGGGUUGUAAACCGCUUUCGCCUGUGACGAAGCGUGAGUGACGGUAAUGGGUAAAGAAGCACCGGCUAACUACGUG
Molecule: ribosomal RNA, 468 nt
Filed under: uncultured bacterium
Lineage: Bacteria
Description: partial 16S ribosomal RNA
Rfam family: Bacterial small subunit ribosomal RNA
Source: RNAcentral